CCAAGGAGUGCAACAUGCGUGCGAGUCUUGGGGUGGAAAACCCGGCGGCGCAAUGAAGGUGAAGGCAGGCGUUGGUCUGCUGAGGCGAGAGCUUCCUCCGGGGGCGCAUCGUCGACCGAUCCCAGGCUACGCUGUGGCGGGAUUUGAGUAAGAGCGUGCCUGUUGCGACCCGAAAGAUGGUGAACUAUGCCUGWUUAGGGUGAAGCCAGAGGAAACUCUGGUGGAAGCUCGUAGCGAUUCUGACGUGCAAAUCGAUCGUCAAAUUUGGGUAUAGGGGCGAAAGACUAAUCGAACCAUCUAGUAGCUGGUUCCCUCCGAAGUUUCCCUCAGGAUAGCUGGAGCCCGGUGCAGUUUUAUCAGGUAAAGCGAAUGAUUAGAGGUCUUGGGGUUGAAACAACCUCAACCUAUUCUCAAACUUUAAAUGGGUAAGAAGCUCGGCUUGCUCAAUUGAAGUCGGGCAUGGAAUGCCGGGGCUCUUAGUGGGCCAUUUUUGGUAAGCAGAACUGGCGAUGUGGGAUGAACCAAAUGCCGAGUUAAGGUGCCCGAAUCGACGCUCAUCAGAUCCCAUGAAAGGU
Molecule: ribosomal RNA, 575 nt
Filed under: Spheciospongia vagabunda
Lineage: Eukaryota; Metazoa; Porifera; Demospongiae; Clionaida; Spirastrellidae
Description: LSU rRNA
Rfam family: Eukaryotic large subunit ribosomal RNA
Source: RNAcentral